GACGAACGCUGGCGGCGUGCUUAACACAUGCAAGUCGAACGAUGAAGCCCAGUUUGCUGGGUGGAUUAGUGGCGAACGGGUGAGUAACACGUGGGCAACCUGCCCCAAACUCUGGGAUAACUCCUCGAAAGAGGUGCUAAUACCGGAUACGAACUAGACAGACAUCUGUACUAGUUGGAAGGUUUUUCGGUUUGGGAUGGGCCCGCGGCCUAUCAGCUUGUUGGUGAGGUAACGGCUCACCAAGGCUACGACGGGUAACCGGCCUGAGAGGGCGACCGGUCACACUGGGACUGAGACGCGGCCCAGACUCCUACGGGAGGCAGCAGUGGGGAAUAUUGCGCAAUGGGCGAAAGCCUGACGCAGCGACGCCGCGUGAGGGAUGAAGGUCUUCGGAUCGUAAACCUCUUUCAGUAGGGACGAAGCGAAAGUGACGGUAUCUAAAGAAGAAGCACCGGCUAACUACGUGCCAGCAGCCGCGGUAA
This 482-nucleotide ribosomal RNA is filed under the name uncultured bacterium. Its description in RNAcentral is "partial 16S ribosomal RNA". It matches the Rfam family "Bacterial small subunit ribosomal RNA", at positions 28 to 523 of the family's 1533-position model. The record is from RNAcentral.